RNAcentral lists this long non-coding RNA (16546 nucleotides) under Marmota monax (woodchuck). The record is from RNAcentral. Lineage: Eukaryota; Metazoa; Chordata; Mammalia; Rodentia; Sciuridae.
CCUAGGUAGGGCUCGCCUUGGUCAGCCUCGUGGGGCUCUGACAAAGCACCCGAGACCAGGGAACUUAGGAGAAACAGAAACUUAUUGUUUUACAGUUCUGGUGGCUGGGAAGUCCAAGGUCGAGGUACCGAGCCCAGCGAGGGCCUUGGGGCCGUCUUCAGCAGCAGAGGUGGAAGGGACCCUGGCCAAGCACAGCCGCUUGGGGAAGGCUCUCUCGUGUCGUGGAGCCCCUUGCCCAUCACCUCUGCGGCACCUUGACCACUGCUGGGUGGUGGACACAGCGGGCCUCCCUCAGGUGCCUUCUCUGUGCCUCAGUCUUGUCAUCUGAGAUGGAGGUGGUAGCAGAACCUGCCUCACUGGGUCAUUGCCGGCUUAAAUGAACAUCAAAGAACUUGACAUAGGCUACCACCUUCAUCACCAUCUUCAUCAUCGUCACAGACUAAUAGGUGAGUCCGAUUUAGAUUUGAAAGUUUGCUAAGAGGUAAAGUUUUUUGUUGAUUUAUUAUUAUUAUUAUUAUAAAUAGCUCUUUGACCACUUGUUUGUUAACACAUGGCGUGUGGAAUCAACUCUAAGGAAACAGACUCUUCAGCUGGAGAAACUAUCCCAAUAGCAUCAUUAACAGCUCUGGCUCCACUCUGUUCUGUAUUCAUUAGUCAUGUGACUUAAGUGGUUUAAAAUCUCUGAUCCUUAGACUUCAUUUUUUUUAUUUGUUCUAAUUAGUUACACAUGAUACUGGGAUGCAUCUUGACACUUCACACACGAAUGGAGCCUGACUUGUCAUUCUUCUGGUUGUACAUGAGGUAGAAGCUCACUGAUCAUGUGAUCAUAUGUGCACACAGGGAAUAGUGUCAGAUUCAUUCUACUUUCCUUUCUAUCCUAACCACCUCCCCUUCCUUCACUCCCUUCUGCUUAAUCCAAACUCUAUUCUUCCCUAUCCCUUCCUUCAUUGUGAAUUAGCAUCUACUUAUCAGAGAAGACAUUUGGCCUUUGGGCUUUGGGGAUUGGCUUAUUUUGCUUAGCAUGAUAGUCUCCACCUCCAUCCAUUUACCUGCAAAUGCCAUCAUUUUAUUCUUUUUAAAGGCUGAAUAAUAUUCCAUUGUGUAUACACGCCACAUUUUCUUUAUCCAUUCAUCUGUUGAAGAGCACCUAGGUUGGUUCCAUAGUUUAGCUAUUGUGAAUUGAGCUGCUAAGAACAUUGAUGUGGCUGUGUCCCUGUAGUAUGCUGAUUUUAAGUCCUUUGGGUAUAAGCCAAGGAGUGGGAUAGCUGGGUCAAAUGGUGCUUCCAUUCCAAAUUAAGUUUUGAUGUAUUAUUUUUCUGGAAGAAGUUCCUGAAGUAUUUGAUGAAGCUUUAAUUGUCAUCUACCCUCUCAACAAAGAUGCAUAAAAUCUAAUGGUGUAAAGUAGACAUUUUGUCUCACAGAGCACACAUUCUUCAUCUCUCUCUGACUAACCAUAUUUGAAGUAUUUUCUCCUAAGCCUCUGCUAUGUAUGACAUAACUUCUGAAAGCAAUGCUAUUGAAUCUUUGGCCUCAAUUCUAUAAACAGUUUUGUGUAUUGUGUGGUGUCAGGCAUCCUGGAUUCUGUAAGCAAAAGUAAAGCUGUGAUCUGAGGAAAAAAAACAAAAACCACGCAGCACUGAGUUAAAGGGCUUGCACAUCAUCACAGCAGGUGAGAGGACGUGCAGACUGUUCUUAGUGGACAAAGACCAGGAAGCUGGGUUGACAGGAGUCAGUGCCUCGGACCUAUUUCCUGUGUUUAUGCAGCCUGCAAGCCAAGCAUGGUUUUCACAUUGUUAAAUAGUCAAGAAAAAAAAAUCAACAGAAGAAUAAUGCUUCACAUGUGACAACCACGUGGAACUCAAGUGAAGUUCCCAUCAGUAAAGUCUUACUGGAGCACAGCGUGUCCGCGUGUUUAAACAUCACCCAGGCUGCUGUCGCUCGAACGGAGAGCCCAGUGGUUGCCACAGACUCCAAGUCCUGCGAGGCCCGGAGGACUCACCGGCCCUUUACACAAGAAGUCUGCUGGGCCCUGCCAAGAGGUUAGGUGACUCACCCCAGAUGCACAGCGUGGAGGGCAAGACUUUGCAACAUGAAUCCGGAUUCUAAACUCUCUCAAAAACCAGGUUCAUGACUAGACUAGAUGUCUCUUUGCUUUGCAGACUUAAAAAAAAAAAAAGCCAUAUUUGCACGCUUUUGAAUCCCUCUUGGCUCUGCCACGUCUUGCCGUCGAUUUCCACUGUGGAAGGUGGUCAGUGCCGGGCCAGCAGAAGCAGCCUCUUGAGCACAGCCGACAGGGCCCCGCCUCUCUCCGCAGCUCACCCCCCAUGGAGAGUGCCAGCAGCCUGAGUGGGUCCCCUGCGGGAAGCACAGCCCUCUCAAUGGCCCCUGAGGAGAAGUGACCCUCUUAGCCUCUCCUCAGCCUAAUAGCCAUGGAGGGUGUCACACCCUCCGUGCUCUCAUGACCCAGGGCAGCCACAACAAUGCCGUGUCCUGUGGAGAAAACAGUGUCCUCGCGUCACACCUAGGGAGCCGCUGCUGCUUCAGACGUUCUCCACAGCGGCUGACGGUGCUCGCUCCGUGCACUGUGCAGAGAAGGCCUUGAACGCUCCAAGGCCAGCCUCUUCUGCGGCCACCAGGUUUGUUAGGUGGUGAGUGUGAUAACCGCAAGAGCUGUCCUCCACGGGGGACAAGUUGCCUGAGGAUUAAACAGGAGCAAGAUGGCCAGUUUGGGCCGUUUCCCAAACAGUACUGUGUUGGCCCACGACAACUGUCAUAUUUUUCGGUAUGAAUUCUCAGAAAAUUAAACACGUUCAUAUCCAACCACAAGUACACCCACAUGCCCAAACCCUGUCCGUUUCUGGAACACCCUAAGCUUUGGAAGAAGCCCCAUCCCCCUUCCCUGUGUGAGUGCCAGUAGUCGAGAACUGAAGGAACUAGUUCCAUCUCAGAAAACAUGAUGUGGGAUGGCUUUCCCAGUACUUCACGGGGUACUAGGACCAAUCAUCCAUUUUGCACUGGCUUUCGUGGGCUGGGAUACCUCAUAUAUCACAGCUACUAUGCACUCUUCAAGGAAAAGGCAAACACAGAGUACGGAGAAAACCUCCAAGAGAUUCAGCUACAAGGCAGUUUAUGUCAUCGUCAUUGUUCCUAAGAAAAGCCCAUGGCAAAUACCUUGGCUUGAUUCUCUUCUAGGCUGUCAAGGAAACUCUGAUGAGGUGGUAAUUCAUCAGGGUGGACAGGAGAGAAAGAGGGCUGCAGAGAUGCUUGACUUGCCUUGGUUACAUUGGCAGCAUGUCAUGGAGCCCACCAGACAAAAUGGAAGCAGUUUGUGAUUUACCCUGCCACUGCAGGUCCUGUUUCUAAAAAAGUUUUCACUUUGAAAUGAUUUAAGAUUUAUAGAAAAGUCGCAAAAAUCUCCAUCUAUCCUUCACCCAGAUUCGACAACAGUUGACAUUUUACCUUGGCUGGGUCAUUUCACACUUGCUUUCUCGGUGACACAGAUGAGGAGAUGGAUGGAUGGAGAGAGGCAAUCACGUCCUUGCACCACGUGAGAGUCAGUUAAAGACGUGACGCUUCUUUAUCACUCAACAUUUCAGUGUGUGUUCUUAAAACCACACACACUCUCUUAUGUAACCACAGUGCAGUUAUCAAAAUCAAGAAAUUAAAUUUGAUACAGUUGAAUCAGGACACUAACUACAGAUGUCACUCAAAUUUUGCCAGUGGGGGGAGGAUAUCAUGCUCAGCAGAGACUUGACUAGCACACAAAAGGUCCUGGAUUCGAUGCUUGGCACUGCAAAAAUAAAAAAGAAAAUGAAAUUAUAUCACAUAUAUGUUUUAUGGGACAAGACACAAAAAUUAUGGUCCAAAAUUCUACCUAGGAGCACAAAUUGUACUGAAUUUCCUUCUUUCUCCUUUAGUCUAGAAUCUCCAAUAUGAUGACCUUGACAUUUUGAAGAGUCCAGGCCACUGAUCUUUCAGAACAUCUGGGUGGAUUCUAGUCCUUCCUCGAGUUAGAGCCAUGCCAGUGUUUGGGAGGAACACCACUCAGUGACAGUGAACCCUUCCUCGGUGAAUCACGCCAGAGGCUCACGAUGCCCACCUGUACAUGGUGGGUGAUGCUGCCCUUCCACACGUGGUAAGGUAGUGGGGGGAGGUGUGUCCAGUGAACAUUUUUAUGUUUUUUGUUUUUCAGUAAAAAACAAAAAUACUGUGUGAGACUGUGUAACAUCCUCUUUCCAGUCAAACUUCCAGCCGGUCAUCGUAUCAUUGCUACGAGGUCACCAGCAGGUGGCUUCCUAACGUCAUCAUUUCUUCUGCAGUUAUUACACUACGGAGGAGCUUUUUCUUUCUUGCUCACUUAUUUGUGUAUCCAUUUAUGUGUGGUGAAUGGAUUCAUGGAUUCUUGUUUUAUUCAAUGAAUUAUAAAUUUGCCCACCAUUGUUUAGUUGAAGUCCAGAGAGUUCCGGUUGGGCUAAUGCUUGUGUCCUUACACAUGUCUGAGGGGAGCAGGGAUGCGAACUGCGGUUUUUGGUGAUCAUUCUAGCAGCAGUUUAUGUAAAGGGUGUUUUUAAAACACAGGUGAUAAGAGGUGGGGAAACCUGUAGAGACGAGGAGAGCCCUGGGUUUAGGCAGCACAGGGAGGAGGAAUCAAGAGGAUCUGGAGAUCACGUGAAGAGGUAAAGGAGAAAGCGGUCUUGGCCUGAGUAACUGGAAGGUGGUGGUGCCAGAGGCAGAAACAGAAUAUAGGAGCCGGAGGGGGUGGCAAGGGGAUUGCUCUAGACCUGUGGAACUCGGGUCUCCAAGCACACGUCCUUGUGGAAUCGCCCGCACUUGAACAUAGAGAUCUGGAGCUCCAGAAAGAAAUGAUGCUGCACCUUGAUUUGGGAACUGUCAUAGACGGAGCCUCUGGAAGUAAAUGAGCUCAUUGAUCAGACACCUAAAGCCAAAAUGGGAGAGAAGGGGCCAAUCUCAGGGAAUGCCUCCAAUUAAAAUGCCAAAGACAGACACUCUAGGAAGUAACAUCAAAAAAGAGCUCUUUGAUGUGUCAUCAGAACCUAGAUGAAAGACUAUUUCAGGACCAGUAGGGGGAGCCACGUUCAGAGGCUCAACAGAGGAAGCAGUCCAGGCCAGGCGCCUGGCACCCAGAGGCCAGUGUCAGCUGCAGGAGAGCCAUCUCCAUAAAACAGUGAGCACAGAGACCAGCCCACAGGUGAGGAAGGAGGCACAGAGCACAGAGCCUACACUUUCAGAAAGAGGGGCAGUGACGGCAGAUAGACGGUGCCUUUGGAUGAAGCCCCAUCUUAAAAUGCAGGGCCUCGUCAUUACCCUAACUGUAGGGGACAAAAGGGGGCCAAGGUCAAGAAUGCAGGAUCGCCUUGCCAAGUAGAAAGUCGGGACACGGCAGGGAAGGGCGGCAGGUCCCCGGGAGCUCCAAGGCCGGGGGAGCUGUGGAGGGGAGCUGUGGAGGGGAGCUGGUGCUCAGGCUGAGCAGCCUGGCUCCUCGGUGCAGUCAGAGUGAAGGGGAAAGAACGAGUUUGGUGGUUUUUGAAGAGCAGAGGUGACCCUGAAUAGUGACAAGGAGGAGUGGAACAUGACUAGGAAUCCAGGUGGAGACCUGAUUGCACAUACACCCUGUUCAUGAUGGUCGAGCACAUUAGCAACUCAAAUCUUUAGAGAUCAGAGUAUAGGAACAGGUAAGUAGGAAUACUGAAAGUGUAUUAGGCUCCUUCAAAAAAGCAGAUGCCAAAUGAGAAUUCAGCCUGCAAGAGCAGGUGUCAGGGAGUCAUCGGCCAGCAUCAGCUGUUAGUAGAAGUGUCUUGCAAGAAAGACACGGUCCUGGCCAGGAGCAGCCUGCAGGAAGCAGGGCGUGGGGCUUGAUCCAAAGGCCGAGCAGCACAAUUCUGCUUCCUACCCUGUGGGUCGAGUGCUGCGUGUCCUUGGCUGCUAUGGUACACAUGUGAUGAACCCGCAUUUGUAAGACCAGUUCCCCGGAAGAAUGAAAAUCACCUGGAAGAGUCCCCAAGUAGAAGAGCUCAGUCUGGGAAGACUUGCUAACCUCUAGUCUGUCGUGGCAGAGCUGGACGUUGGCCCUGAGUGGGUGGACUCGGGACGGUGGAAGGUUGGUUUUUUUAAGUAGACAUUAAAAUUUAAUAGAGAAGAGUUAUAUCAUUUUGGGUCAUAAAAAUAAUAUAACAAUGGUGAUAUUUCAAUAGCAUAGAUCCAUUUUUUAAAAAAUGUUUUAAGAACCAGUAGUUUAAGAACAUUAUAACACAGUUACUAAGGAAGCUGAGGAAGGAGGACCCCAAGUUUGCAGCCUGGGCAACUUAGAAAGGCCCUGUCUCAAAACAAAAUAAAAGAAAGCUGGGGACGUGGCUCAGCACAAGAGCCCUUGCCUAUAUACACCAGGCCUGGGGUUUGAUUCCUGGUACUGAAAAAAGAAAGCUCAGAAUAAAUGCCACCAUCAGGUAUGAUCAGAUGUAAUCAUUUAACCUCUUUAAAUAGCCCCAAAGUCUUGUUCUGGGAGAAAAGAAGGAUCAUGUCUGCCAUAUUCUCUUCAUUUCUUUUCUAUAUUAUUUCUAUAUUUGACCUAAGAGUUUUCUUGCAGGGAUAUUUUUGUGGUCACUUGUCUGUUUUUUGAAGACUAGUUAAAAAUCUGAUGAUACUGUCUAGAAAGCUGCUUUUCAGACACGUGAGCUCAAUUUUGCAUAUGCUGAAAACAAGCAGUCACCCACACCCACCCUUUCCUCGUGCCCUGACCAGCCCACAGUGCCACCGCCAGUCUCCACAUUACACAGUGGAGUAUCUUUCUUUUCCUUUCAUCUUCAUCUGGGGCUCCAGCUCCAUCUUGGAGUCCUUCGUGGGUCCAUCCCAGGGAGGCCAAGGAGAGUCCCACUAUGAAUCCCUGCCCAUCAGUGCUUCAGAGUGAAGCGUUGCCGAGACGCACAGCCCUCCUUCUUCUUGGGGUUGGCAUCUUCUCCGAACAUGACUUUGAUGAACUAUUUUGAUAAAAGAGCUGCUCUCUAUUCUGCCUUGCUCUGAAUACUCCUCUCCAUAUAAUACCUGUUAGAGAAUAAGGAGUCCAGGAGAAGGGAGAGAGAAUCCUGUCCUAGCGCCUUAUCAAGCUCUGGCCAUCUAUUUGUGCCCCACUUGGGUUCUGACAGCGAAGUGCUGUGGAUCUGUUCUUGUGAUCUGCUGAAUGUGGGGUCCACUUGGCCUGUGGCACGCACAGGACCUUCUCAGCCUGGCAGCCUCCCCAGGCUGACAGUUCAUGGGUCCUACUGAGAGCCACCGAUGGGUGGGCAGUGCCAUUCCUGGAUGACGUGCACAUGUCCAUGUCCUCACCCGCCCUGUGUGACCACGUCUCACUCCAUAGUGGGUGGAACACAGCGAUGGCUUCAAAAGAUGAGACCCAAAAGGGAUAUUCGUGAGAAUUAGAAACCAGCCACUGCAGGGAACUAACAGCAUAAAAAACGCUUCCGACUCUGAGGCCCCGAAGCACCACUUCCUGUUGUGAUGGACACUGUGGGUGCAGCUUGUGGGCAGCUCUGGAAACAGUGGAGGGGGGUGUGUCUAAGAAAAGCAACAGAGAGCAGCCGCAGCCAGCCCAGAUUCUUCCUGUGCAGAGAGCAACGGCCACAGGAAAGUCUCUGGGGUUGAGGGACUCGGGGGCACAAGGUUUGACCACAUAGUCAGCCCGGCCAGGCCCCAUCUGUCCUACAGUGCCCACAAAUGCCCUUACGGGGCAACCAAGAUCCUCCUGUGUCUGUAGACCCAAGAACCACAUGGCCAAGGAAGCCGAGCCGGGUUGCCACGUCCACUCCAAAACCACUUGACUACUUAAACUUCAUGAGGAAGGUGAGUUAGCCAGAUUCAGGUCCCAGUCUAAAAUAAACUGUGCAUUUCUGAUAUUUUAACACAGCUCAGAGGAACUGGUGACUCGCUAUUACACAGGAGUAAUUAAUAACAUAUUAAAUCAUCACCAUCUUUUUAAAUAUGAGAGCCCACCCUAGAGUCUCAAGGCAAGAUUACUCUGAAUUCAAUGAAAAGACAAAAGUAUAAUACCCCCAUAAUCAUCAUUUAGUAUCAUUUAUCCAAAAGAGAUUAUUUUGCAUAAGGACCAUAUCCCUCUGGGAAAAAGCAACUAUUAGAAAAUCAUAUUUAACAGAUAGAUCUAUCUGACAGUGAGCCAGAGCUUCUCUCUGAUGUUGAAGAAGUAACUUUUCCUUAUUGGGUAACUAAUGAGAAGUUUAUUAUACUCAAUUUGUUUUAUAGUCAUUAUCUUUGGAGUGUAAAGUCCUGGAGGGCAAUGAUGGCACAUUUUCUUCAGUGAUUUAAAGACUUUCCCCAGCUGGUACAGUAUUAAAUAAUCAGGAAUUUUCAUAUCAUUUGCUAUGCUUUCAGUUGGAAUUAGCAGAGAAUUCCCCUCAACCUGCUGAAGCAACUCUAGAUAUGACUUCCCUUACACAAUUAAAGUCCAGAGUUAGGGGCAAUUACCAAGAGUCUCAGUCACAUUAUGAAAAACCCAGACUCUUCCCAUCUUUCCAUUUCACUACCCUCAGAAUGUCAGGUUUUCUAAGAGGCCAGCUCCUCUCGGGGUUGAAAGAUGGUUACCAGUUCCCAGGCACCGCAGGUGGACGUGUCCGACUCGGGUGAUGCGGGCCCCUGAACUGGGUCACGUGACUACUGUUAGAGAAUCCCUGCGAAGCGCACACAGUUCAAAGGUUCAUAUAGAACAAUCCAGAUUUAACUCUGAGGCUUAGGAGAGGAAUAUGGACGACUUUAUCAGUUAAGAAUGGGUUUGGUUGUGUGUGAUGAAGUAAUAGUUGUGUGUGAUGAAAAUAUGAAAUAAUUGAGGCCUAACAAAGAAAGAAAUUGCCGCCCGUGGCUUUAGAGGAUAAGCCUUUUUUUAGCCCGUGAAUCUGAUUUCGCUGAGGAGCUCCCCUGGCCUGGCUGGCCUGGCUCUGCAGCACGUGGUCAGGGGUUGGUGAGCCACAGGUGAGGUGGCUGCAUUGGGGGGGGUGGGUUUCUCACCUGUCUGGACCCUCCAAUGGGGGAGGCAGGCUGACUGGGCUCUGCGCCCUGCUGUCCCUGACCAUGCAUCUCCACGGGACUGGCCUCCCCAAGCCUGCUGGUCUGAAACCGCGGACCUGCCUGUCAGCCCAGGCGCUCCUUCACCUGUUCACAGCAGCUGGGCAGUGGCCAGGUGGCUGCUUCUACGGCCUGGUGGCUCUCGGCUGGAGCCCCAGCUCUCCUCUGCGUGCCUCUCUGCCCAGGGGCUCCCCAGUGCUGCGCAAGAGCAGGGACCCAGGAGAGACAGGAAGAGCACACAGGGGUGCUGGGGUCAGGCCUGCAUGGCACACGGCCACCUCGGCCGCACUCUGUCAGCCCAAGCAAGUCACGAAGCCACCCAAAUGCAAGCUAUGAGGAAAUGAACUCCUUUUAAAAAAUAAAUCAACUGCAAGUCAAGUUGCAAGGAUCAUGGAUUCAGGAGGGGGAACAGUUGGGGCCGUUCUGCUAACCAGUUACCACAGGAAGAGCUCUGCUCCCCCCAGCUGUCCACCCUCCUGUUAGGGGUGAGCCUCCUCCUCCUGGUCCAGAGCACAGCCACCACAGCACAUUCCAGGCUGCGGACAGGGAGGAGUGAAGAGGCCAGCAGACGGCAUGCUGGACGUCUCUCAAGGAACAUCCCCAGGAGCCUCUAAAUCACUCCUGCACGCACGGUAGGCUAGAACCUCAUCCUGCAGCCACGCCAGACUCUGCCAGCUGUCAUCUGCCCACCACCCAAAACAUGUCAAGAAAGGAAGAGGGGAUGGCAAUGCACCUAGCCCAGCCACAGCACUGAUAGCUUCCCACGCAUAUUUGUAAUCUACAAAACUUCCUUGAAUAAAGGAUUUAAAAACAAAUUACCGCCAAUGGUUAGGAAAAGAAAUGCACGUCAAUGUCGUGACUUCCAGUUUUCUUUCUGUGCACAGGUGGUAGCUGCCUUGUUCUAACCACAAUCAGUAAAGCAUCCCCUCGGCUCCCAGCGUAGCCUGUACCCCACAGACUGCACAAUGUCCAGAUACCACCGCAGCCCUCUUGAAGAGGAUCUUGUCCUGUUGAUUCUAAAGAAGUAUGGUACAACUCCUGUCAAGAGUCCUAUUGCCAGAAUUUCUUCUUGUGUUCUUUUUUUCUUCCUGUUGAACCACAAAGUCAUUGGAGAAUAGAAAAAGCUUUUCAUUUAGAGGAUGUACCUGGCACAGUUUUUCAUAAAUCAGAAACCAACUCUAGUUAAUUUAAACAGUGAAAAGAUUCACUGAAUAGGGUCUGAGUUGCUCACAGACUUGGUGAGAAGGCCGGAGAACAUGGGCUGGGCAGGUCCCCGAGGUGUAAAGCCAACCCUGGGAUCAGCUUCUGCCGUGGCUGCUGACGGUCUGACCUCUGGUUCUGAUGCUGUGGACUCUCUCCACACACACUGGCUCCUGGACGGCACAGCAGCCACCCAACCCUCUCGCCGCUCCCAGUCCUUCCAGUCAGUUCUUGGCAGAAGCAUCGGAUUGGUCACUUUUAGGUCAGAUGCCCAGUUCUGAGGGUUGCCAGGGUAAUCGAACAAGAAAUAUCCACCUUUCUCAGCUUUUAUAAAAAGCAGUUAGGCUGUUCCAGCCUGCCUUUAUUCCAAAUGAGAAAAACGUUAGACAAAGAAUCCCACUAUUAUGCAUAAUUAUAAGGCACCAGUGCGAAUGAAGAGGGGAGAGGCUGGGGCGCACUCGGUGGCCGGCACUUGCCUAAGAUGUGCGAGGCCCUGUCUUCAGUCCCAGCACUGUAAUGGUGGCGGUGAGGGGGAGGAGGAGGAGAGAGGGCCCGUGGGCUGAACAACACUCGAUACAGAGGCCACGGGUGGCAUCUGCACAGCAGCAGGCCCACAUCACUCAGUUACACAGGAUGGGGACCAGGGAGCAGAGAAGCAGGAGCUAACAUGGGGGGUGGGUGAAAUUGUGUUUUUGAAAAUAUGCUAAUGACCAGAAUUCCAGGGGGAUGGGUAGGGGAGUCAGCUCAGGUGAUACAACAUUUUGUCUUUCAAUCCUGGAAACAAGCAUCCAGUUAAAUGCACAUCUUAACGGGGAGCUUCCCAAGCCGGACCCAAAGCACCCAUGGCAGUUAGCAUUAAGCUGGGUACUGAGAGCACACCUGUGGUCCCAGAAACUUGGGAGGCACAGGUGGGCAGAUUGCAAGUUCAAGGCCAGCCUGGGCAAAUUAGUGAGACUGUCUCAAAAUAAAAUAAAAAGGAAUGGGGAUGUAGCUCAGUGGCAGUUCAAUCCCACCUCCUAAGUAAAACCAUAAAAUAAAGUUAACAGUUAGUAAUAAGGUGAUUAUAAAUACACCCCUGGAACACUGAUGGCCAAUAUCCUCAAUUGCCAAACACUUAUUAACUCCGUCUCCACCUUGAGAAGAUGGGCUGCUGCAUACUCCUGAAGGCUCCCAACUCUUCUGCCUGGAAGGAGGAUGUCACCAAUGCCACAGCUCCUUCAAACCACCCCUCAACGUGAGCCUCUUCUUGUGGUCUUGCUGGAGGUGUUAUUAAAUAGACUUUAUAGCUGAUAUGGCAUCGGCCUUGAUGGAUCAGAAGGACACUGGCCAUACUCAGAACAGAGUCUCCAGGCUUCCCAACAGGUCGGCAUGAAUCCGUUCAGUGCUGGGGGAUCCUGAGGGCCCCAGGGAGGCCUCAGCAAGGGGUGGGAGCAUGCAGGAGACCAUCGGCUGUUUACCAGCUUAUUCCAGAAUUCCUAAUGAGGCCCACCUGCACUCCUGCCAGCCACGGGAACAUCAGCUCUGUCUCAGGUUCUCAGCACUUGGCAGCUGGGCGGAGAUGAAGGGCCACAUUCAUGGUGUUCUGGAUCACCAGGAGUCAGAACUGCUCGGGAACAGCACCAGGCACGUUAGCUGAUCCAGGACACUUCCCUGGAGACAGGGAUGAUGAUUCCUCUGCUUCACCACAGACCAGCAGUGCUCGCCAGGUGGCUGAGAGGCAGAGUUUUCAUUAGGUUGCCACUUUUCUGGGUCCUACUGUCUCUUUGAUGUCUGCCUGCCACCUAUGGGCCACUGUCAAGUUGUCCUUGUGUAUGGCUGGAUCUCUGUUGCCCAGAACAGUGCCUGGCACACAGGAAGCACUCAACAAAGAACUCCCAGGCCAUCCUGAGAGGGCUGUCCACAGGAGACUGUGCCAGAGGGCAGGCAAAUGGCCAGGCUGCGGGUCAAAGAGGGUCCAGGACAGCAGGUGUCCAGGAAGGGGCUGUGGGCGCUGGUGCUUUGCCUCCUCCCCAGGCCUGUCUGCCAGCAGCACAGUUGGUUUUGACAGGAAGGAAAUGGCUCUCUUUUUAAAUAAGCUACAACUGUCUCAUUCUCACCCCCAUUGUCCAAAUUCAACUGUCUGGGGUUCCAAAAUCCAGAAAAGCAGGAACCAAGUCUACAUAACUGUCCCAUCCAACAUUCAUACAAAGCUCUGCCACUGAGCUACGUCCCCAGCACUUUCUUUUCUUUCUCUUUUUUUUAAAUUUUGAAACAGAGUCUCCCUAAGUUUCUGAGGCUGGCCUCAAACUUGUGAUACUCCUGCCUCGGCCUCCUGAGUAUUUGCAAUUAUAGGUGUGGCCACCACUCCCAGCUCCUUCACAGAUUUUUAAAAAUAAUCAUGAAGGUCCCUGAAAUCUGAGCAUAAAGUUCAAACAAAAAUCAUUGGGGGCUGGGGAUAUAGCAGUUGGUAGAGUGCUUGCCUCACAUGCACACGGUCCUGGUUUCAAUCCCCAGCACCACAAAUAAAUAAAAGAAAUAAAAUAAAAUAAAUAAAAUAAAAAUCAUUGGGAUGCUGUUUAGUCAGCUUUUUGCUACUGUGACCAAAAGACGUGAUAAGAACAAUUAGAGGAAGAAGUUAUUUUGAGUCUCAUGGUUUCAAAGGUCUCAGUCCAUAGAUGGCUGACUGUACUCCUUAGGGCCCAAGGUGAACAGCACAUCAUGGCAGAAGGUGUGGCAGAGGGAAGUGGCUCAGCGCCCGGCCACCAGGAAGCUGGUGGGCCGGGACCACUUGUGGCUCCAUUCCCUAGGGACAAAAUUCAUGCCCCCAAAGCACAUCCCAGGGACCCACCCCCUCCAGCCACACCCUACCUCUGAAUUUCCCUGCCUUGUCUCACACAUGAGCUUUUGGGAGACACCUAAUAUCUAAACUAUAACAGAUGCUUUUGUUUGUUAGUUUUUAAAUAUUAAAGAAUUUUUUAAUCUUUAUUUAUUUAUUUUUAUGUGGUGCUGAGGAUCGAACCCAGAGCCUCACAUGCUAGGCGAGCGCUCCACCGCUGAGCCACAAUCCCAGCCCAUAUUAAAGAAUUUUUAACUGUCACACAAUAAUUGUACAUAUUUAUGGUGUACGAACUAGGAUUCUUUAUUUGGAAUUCAUAAUGGUCGGUGGGAAAAAAAUAACACAGUUUUAAUACUUGUGCCUGAAAUUUUAGUAAUUUCUUCAAUUUUUAAGUCGGGCAACAAGCCAUAGAACAAAAGACUUUGUUAUCAAUAAGAAUUGCAGGUAUUUUCAUAUCACAUUACAGUGGCUAAAGAUGGUAUAAAAUAAUAUUCACAUUCAUCACUACUUUAAAGUUACAGGAAAAUGUAUAUUUUGCAAUAAGAGUUACAAUAACAACUAGACUUGCCACUAAAUCUUGCUAUUUGAUGUGUGAAUAAAGAAAAUAAACAUUAUAAAUUCGCCUUUUUAAAUGUAUUUUGAUAUCUGUUUAAUAUAUGUCCUUGAACUUCUGGGUACCUUCUUUUGUUUUCCAAAUAUGUUCUGAGAAGGGAGGAGAGUCCAGAUGGUGGCUAGCAGAGGGCUGCGUUCCUAGUUGCCCCAUGGCUCUGGAUUCACGGCAGCAGGAGUUCACCAAAGUUCAACUUUGGACAGAGUGCCUUAGGGACUCAGAGGAAGAGUCCCUUGGGGCCAUGGUGGCAGAGGGAGAAGUGUGAGAAGCAUGCUCACCUGCCCAAACCCAAAGACCUGACUGACAGGGGAAGGUGCGGGCAAGGCUUUAUUUCAAUGACAAUCUUGGAAGAUGGCGUGUCUGUGGGGAGCAGGCACACCCAAGCGUUCAUCCCCUAGUGCGCAAGAUCCCUCCCCAGGUUCCUCCCUGGCUGAGUACUGUGGGGCGCACCACCUUCCUAAAUGUUGCCCAGGUAUUACUGCCUCCUAUUGGGUUAUUUAAAGAGAUUUACCUUUAGUUGUCCCCACCUCCGUUUGUUCUCUGUGGCAGGAAGCCCCCUUGGAUUAAGUGCCUUUUGGCACACACAGGUGCAGUUUAUUUCUGUUGGCCUGGUCUGGCUCCUUCCAUCUCACCUCGUUGGUCAAGGAGCUAUGAAUUUUUACACGCCAGUGUUCACUGUUUGUAACUUUAUUCUGCUCUCCCCUCCAGCUGCCUUUCUUACACUUAGAGAUAAAUGCUGUAUUUUGAAAAUGGACCACCAGACUUACUAUUUCUUAGGGAGAGAGAACAUAGAGAGAAACACAUUGAUAGAUUUGGUACAGAAAAGGCUGAGAGCAGAAGAGCUGCCGGACCUUAGCCAACCAGAGGCUGCACUGUGCACUGGUGCUUGGAAAGUGCUGUGUCUCUUGAGUGGCCACAGAGAGCUGAGAUGGGAGCCAUGUCNGGAAGCACAGCCCUCUCAAUGGCCCCUGAGGAGAAGUGACCCUCUUAGCCUCUCCUCAGCCUAAUAGCCAUGGAGGGUGUCACACCCUCCGUGCUCUCAUGACCCAGGGCAGCCACAACAAUGCCGUGUCCUGUGGAGAAAACAGUGUCCUCGCGUCACACCUAGGGAGCCGCUGCUGCUUCAGACGUUCUCCACAGCGGCUGACGGUGCUCGCUCCGUGCACUGUGCAGAGAAGGCCUUGAACGCUCCAAGGCCAGCCUCUUCUGCGGCCACCAGGUUUGUUAGGUGGUGAGUGUGAUAACCGCAAGAGCUGUCCUCCACGGGGGACAAGUUGCCUGAGGAUUAAACAGGAGCAAGAUGGCCAGUUUGGGCCGUUUCCCAAACAGUACUGUGUUGGCCCACGACAACUGUCAUAUUUUUCGGUAUGAAUUCUCAGAAAAUUAAACACGUUCAUAUCCAACCACAAGUACACCCACAUGCCCAAACCCUGUCCGUUUCUGGAACACCCUAAGCUUUGGAAGAAGCCCCAUCCCCCUUCCCUGUGUGAGUGCCAGUAGUCGAGAACUGAAGGAACUAGUUCCAUCUCAGAAAACAUGAUGUGGGAUGGCUUUCCCAGUACUUCACGGGGUACUAGGACCAAUCAUCCAUUUUGCACUGGCUUUCGUGGGCUGGGAUACCUCAUAUAUCACAGCUACUAUGCACUCUUCAAGGAAAAGGCAAACACAGAGUACGGAGAAAACCUCCAAGAGAUUCAGCUACAAGGCAGUUUAUGUCAUCGUCAUUGUUCCUAAGAAAAGCCCAUGGCAAAUACCUUGGCUUGAUUCUCUUCUAGGCUGUCAAGGAAACUCUGAUGAGGUGGUAAUUCAUCAGGGUGGACAGGAGAGAAAGAGGGCUGCAGAGAUGCUUGACUUGCCUUGGUUACAUUGGCAGCAUGUCAUGGAGCCCACCAGACAAAAUGGAAGCAGUUUGUGAUUUACCCUGCCACUGCAGGUCCUGUUUCUAAAAAAGUUUUCACUUUGAAAUGAUUUAAGAUUUAUAGAAAAGUCGCAAAAAUCUCCAUCUAUCCUUCACCCAGAUUCGACAACAGUUGACAUUUUACCUUGGCUGGGUCAUUUCACACUUGCUUUCUCGGUGACACAGAUGAGGAGAUGGAUGGAUGGAGAGAGGCAAUCACGUCCUUGCACCACGUGAGAGUCAGUUAAAGACGUGACGCUUCUUUAUCACUCAACAUUUCAGUGUGUGUUCUUAAAACCACACACACUCUCUUAUGUAACCACAGUGCAGUUAUCAAAAUCAAGAAAUUAAAUUUGAUACAGUUGAAUCAGGACACUAACUACAGAUGUCACUCAAAUUUUGCCAGUGGGGGGAGGAUAUCAUGCUCAGCAGAGACUUGACUAGCACACAAAAGGUCCUGGAUUCAAUGCUUGGCACUGCAAAAAUAAAAAAGAAAAUGAAAUUAUAUCACAUAUAUGUUUUAUGGGACAAGACACAAAAAUUAUGGUCCAAAAUUCUACCUAGGAGCACAAAUUGUACUGAAUUUCCUUCUUUCUCCUUUAGUCUAGAAUCUCCAAUAUGAUGACCUUGACAUUUUGAAGAGUCCAGGCCACUGAUCUUUCAGAACAUCUGGGUGGAUUCUAGUCCUUCCUCGAGUUAGAGCCAUGCCAGUGUUUGGGAGGAACACCACUCAGUGACAGUGAACCCUUCCUCGGUGAAUCACGCCAGAGGCUCACGAUGCCCACCUGUACAUGGUGGGUGAUGCUGCCCUUCCACACGUGCUAAGGUAGUGGGGGGAGGUGUGUCCAGUGAACAUUUUUAUGUUUUUUGUUUUUCAGUAAAAAACAAAAAUACUGUGUGAGACUGUGUAACAUCCUCUUUCCAGUCAAACUUCCAG